CAUUUAAAACAAAUAUUGUUUUUAUUUUUUAAGAAUAUCUGCUCCAAAAGCCACUUUUGCUGCUUGUAAACACUGUUCUGUGCUCCAAAAGCCACCUUUGCUGCUCCAAAACACCAUUUUGGCUGCUCCGAAAGGUGUUCCAAAACGGCUCAGGCCAAUCACAUCGCUGCUUAUUGCAUCAGGGGCACAUGCUCAAUGCUUUAAUGUAGUCGAUUCGCCAGCGAGCAAAGAGAAAUCUGAUCAAAUGAGCGAUGAACACUUAUGGUCAUUUUUAUCGAUCAAUUAACCCGGCAAAUGUUGACACAAUCUGUUUUGUGCCACUCAACAUAUAGGUACUUUGUGGAAGCAUAUUUCGACACAGCCCUGCCACACUUGAGCGAAGAGGAGCCAAAUAUGCGGACAAGUUUUUCUGUGUGGAGAGUAUUAUGUGUUGCCAAUUUUAUUUACACUCAUCCGGUCCAGGUUGCUAUUAAAUGUAAGGCCCACUCUGGCGACUGUCUCAAGAUGUGGCAUAUUGUUGCCUCGGAGGGAGAGUCCUUCCCAUUGGCCAACUUUUGGCAGCAUAUUAUGUGCUCUUCGCAGUGCCACUGUUUGAACCAAUCCAGCAUCAUCUAGUCGACAUCAAGCUGAAUCUUUCUAUUUAAGUCGGCAUAAAAAGUCGACCCACAUGAUGUGUUUCACCACUGUUGCGCUUGCCUGAACAAAACCAGCGCGUGCCGGCCGAGGCAGAUUGCUGGGACGGCGAGAGCGACUACUUCUCUUUGCUGGACAAGUUGGAACCCCCGACGCAGCCCCGAUACC
This 801-nucleotide unclassified non-coding RNA is filed under the name Ixodes scapularis (black-legged tick). RNAcentral's name for it is "zinc finger protein 436, transcript variant X1". Lineage: Eukaryota; Metazoa; Arthropoda; Arachnida; Ixodida; Ixodidae. The record is from RNAcentral.